UCUCUAUCUCUCUCUCUCUGUCUCUCUCUGUCUCUCUCUCUCUCUCUCUCUCUCUCUCUGCCUCUCUCUGUCUCGUGCUUGCGCCAGCACUGCGAUCUCUUCUAAAAGGCCUACUGUCUUCAAUAUUGUUGAAAUGACUGAUCAGCAAGAUAACUGGGAAGCAGAAGAUGCUAUUUUCCUUGCUGAUAUGCUUCUGGCUCAAGAAAAAGAAAAGAAAGCCAAGGGCGAAGCAGACUCUGCUACAGGCAGUACUUUUC
Molecule: long non-coding RNA, 257 nt
Organism: Sander lucioperca (pikeperch)
Lineage: Eukaryota; Metazoa; Chordata; Actinopteri; Perciformes; Percidae
Exons: 3
Source: RefSeq, a predicted model, not a curated record